GCCAGUGUGGUGUAGUGGUUUGAGUGUUGGACUAGGACUCUGAUGACCAGAGUUCAAUGCCCUGGCAUUGCUU
Molecule: non-coding RNA, 73 nt
Organism: Phrynosoma platyrhinos (Desert horned lizard)
Lineage: Eukaryota; Metazoa; Chordata; Lepidosauria; Squamata; Phrynosomatidae
Source: the annotation of a GenBank genome assembly